Myodes glareolus (Bank vole) is the source of this 3405-nucleotide non-coding RNA. Lineage: Eukaryota; Metazoa; Chordata; Mammalia; Rodentia; Cricetidae. The record is from RefSeq and is a predicted model, not a curated record.
CUCCACACCCGGAAGCAAAUGUCGAGUAUAAUUUUUUUUUUUUUAACCGUUUAUCAAAGGCUGAGGCUCCGACCAAUCUGCGGAGACCUGGGAGGAAGUUUGUGUGACGUCGUUGAGGGGCGGAGCCAAGGUGGCUCUCAGGGGGCGGGCGUUUGAGAGCAGUGCUUCGGAGUCGAGCGUGAAUGUUUUUGUUGUGUCUUUGAGAGCCAAUUACUUAAUCUCUCUCGCGUCUUUUCCUUCCCCGACCCCCUCCCAGACUCCUUCGCCGCCGUGCUGCGAGGACGGAAGGCGCCGGGGAUCGGUCCGCGUCUCGCAGGCGUGAGAUCUGAGGAGAACGCACCAACUGGCCCAACGGCUCCUGCCUCAGUAGACCCCGCAGCCUAGGGACUAGAGUUGUCACUUAAGUGGACAUGAAGAAGGCGCAAAUAAGUACGGGGGCAACCACGAGCUUUCCAAAGCACCAUGGAAGCAGAGGCUGAAGGAUCUUGAAAUUUGAGGUUAGUCUGGUCUACAUAGUUAGUUCCAUGAGAGCCAGGACUACAUAAGUAAGUUAUUAGGAGAUGUGAAUGAAGUCAGUAUCUGAAUGUCAGAUUAGAAAGUAAGUUUUGUAAAGUCUUAACAUAUACUUAGCUCUACUAUGACUGAUACACAUAAUGUAAAAAAGGAAUACAAACAACUGAAUAAAAACUGCAGAAGAGAUUCCAGUCACUAUAGAAAGUAAAGCUGGAGAGGUGGUUCUGGGGUUAAGAGCAGUUACUGCUCUUGUAGAGUACCCAUUUCCAAUUCCCAGCAUCAGCAUCUGGCAGAGACUCCAGCUCCAGGGCUUUUAUCACCUUUUUCUGGCUUCAGUGGGCGCACACACACAUGCACACACAUACAUAUGUGCGCAUACUCACACAUAGGUGUACACAAUUAAAAACAUAAUAAAAUCUUUUUUAAAAGAAACACAAAAUACUCACUUUUCAAUGAUAACACUACAGUACUGUGUUCCCAGCAAUUUAUUUAAAAAAUAUUUGAAUGAGGUUGAGAAGAAAAAGGACACACAGACAGUAGAGGGAUAUUGGCUUCCCAAUACUCUCCCUGGAGAAGCCAAAAUAUUCCUACAGUGGGCUCCAAAGUUUCUUGCUUAUGCCUUUCCGGCUUGCAUACCUUCUUGCUUAGUCGCAGUUCCUUCUGCUGUAGAGCCUUUUCUUAGUGUCUGUGAAGGGUCUUCCUUACUCAAGUGAGGCCAGCCAGCUAAGACAUCUUAGUUAAGAUGUCAGCUGUUCUUUCUUUCCUCUAACGUCCUGCACUCUUGUCUCCCAUAGUCUGCUCUUCUUUUCUUUUUACAGAGUAUGUGUGUGGUCCUGUGUUAUUCUAAAAUCACUGCUGCUCCACCUCCAUGCAGAACAUGUAGAAUGCAAGUUCCAUGAGGUCAUGCUCAGUGGUUUAGACCAGCCAUUUAAAACAAGGACGAACACUAUCGUUUGCCCAGUGAGACUUUUACAAAUGAAAUGAGUGAGCAGAUGAAUGAAUAAACCUUACCAGGAAGAAAUCCUGUCUGGUGUAAAAGUUGUUUCUUUUUUCAUAUGUGUCUGUCUUUUUGUGGCAUAUGUGACAUGAACAAUUGGACAGUCUACUAGUGCACUAAUCCCUAGAAAAAGGCCACUUCUCAUCUGUUUACCCAAGUCUUGAUUUCAGGAUUUACAAGACCUAGAGAAAAUAAUUCGUUUCAGAAGGUAGUCUCUUAAUGUAAACUCAUGUGAUGAUCAGUCUCCUCUAUAUAUACCAUCAAAAUUCUAGUUAGGCCAGCCACCCCCAAUCCAGUUAUAAUUGUUAUCAAAUAUCUCCAUUUUGACCAGUUGAAUCAUUCCCCUACAUCUAUUAAACCCAUCAUCUAUGAACCUGAUAGCUCAAAAAGGUAAAAUUUUUUUUUGUAAGAAAGAAAAUGCAUGUAUGUGACCACCUCCUUAUCUGUGAACCAAGGAUUAGGGUUUAGGUCUAUGUGUUUGUACAGCAAGCAAUCUUACUGAAUCAGCUCUCUAGCCUCCAAAUUAUUUUACUAAAUGCCCAUGAAUUUCUAAAUGAAAUUUGAUCUUGUCAGCUUUGAACUUUAUGCAUAUUUAAAUGUUUGUAUAAAAAAAUCUUUUCUUUUGUGGUUUUCUUUUGCCCUUCCAUUUUAUGUGGUGUGUAGCUGUGUGGAAUUUGACUGUAAAAAUGUACUCUGUAAAUCUAACAGUUAUGCUUCUGUUACAGUGAUCUUUAAAAAUAAAAGUACUACAGCUAUUCUUGCAAGCGUGCAGAGGAGUACACAUGUGCAUUUUCUAUGAACCACAUCAGCAGGGGGAGAGCUCUCCUUGUGGAAUCUCAUCAUGCCUGAUACUGUACAGCAUCUCAAUUUCAUCAGACUUGGCAGUGUGGGUAGUGACCUGUCAUUGAAAUCUUGACUGUGUUUCCUUGAUGUCUAAUUCAUGUUUAUUAUCUACUUUGAUUUCUUUGUGAGGGAUUCUUGUAUUGAAUCGUCUUUUACUUACAGAUUUCUGAGUUCUUAAGGCUUGAGGUAGUAACUGGUGCUGCUUAAGCUGCACAUACAACUUCCAACAUCUCAUUUGGAAAUAUUUGAUACUGACUUUUAUAGAUGGAAAUCUUCCAUUGGGGGAGUUCAGCUUAACAACUUUUUAUUUUUAUUUUUUUUGGUAAGUGCAUGCUAUAUUUUAGUUGAGAAUGACUUUGCUUUGAAAUCAUGUUGGUACUCUCUGUGAGUAUCUUCUUAAGACUUCAUAGAACUUUCUUAGGCAGCCAGGCAUUCAUUUUGUCUGUAAUGUAAUACUGGUGUCUUGUUACCUAGUUGAACAAUUCUUUUUACCGCUUCCUCUCUUCCAAGAUCUCUUUGCCCUUUGUAUAUUCAGGGGCCAAAUGUCAAAUUCUAUACACUUGGAGUUUUAACUGGAAUAACAUUACAUUUGCAAAUUUAAAAAGUGGUGUUUAUAAUGAUUCAGUCUUUAGAUUUAGGCACGAAGUAUAUCUUCUCAUUUCUUUAGAUCAUCUUUAUUUUCUAAAGCAUGUCAGUAUACUGCUUCUCUGUGUAUAUUCAUAUUACUGCUUCAGAAAUCUCACAAGCUCUUGCUGGCUUUAGGUGUCAUUAAUAUCUAAUGUUAUUGUCAAUGAUGUCAUUCUUAAAUUUGGAUCAUUUGUAACUGGUAUAUGUAAAUGUAGUUGAUUUUUGUAUAUAUCUAUUUGAAACUUAGAGAACUUGCCAAAUUCUUCUGUUAAUUCAAGUGGUUUACUCUGAAUAUUUUUACACACACACCAUCUGCCAAUAAUGAUGUGUUUCUUCUUUUACAGUCUCUUUCCAUUCUGCCUUCUCUUUUCCCUUGCCUUGUGUUGGUUAGAACUUCCAGGACAAUGUUGAAUAAAGAUUCUGAU